UAGAGUUUGAUCCUGGCUCAGGAUGAACGCUAGCGACAGGCUUAACACAUGCAAGUCGAGGGGCAGCGGUGGUGAAGGCUUGCCUUUACCAGCCGGCGACCGGCGCACGGGUGAGUAACACGUAUGCAACCUGCCUGCCACAGCCGGAUAAUCGGGAGAAAUUCCGUCUAAUACGGCAUAAUGCAUCGACGGGACAUCCUGUUGGUGCCAAAGGUUGAUUCCGGUGGCGGAUGGGCAUGCGUCGCAUUAGUUAGUUGGCGGUGUAACGGACCACCAAGACGACGAUGCGUAGGGGUUCUGAGAGGAAGGUCCCCCACACUGGUACUGAGACACGGACCAGACUCCUACGGGAGGCAGCAGUGAGGAAUAUUGGUCAAUGGGCGGGAGCCUGAACCAGCCAAGUCGCGUGAGGGAUGACGGCCCUAUGGGUUGUAAACCUCUUUUGCCGGGGAGCAAAGUGCCGCACGUGUGCGGUUUGGAGAGUACCCGGAGAAAAAGCAUCGGCUAACUCCGUGCCAGCAGCCGCGGUAAUACGGAGGAUGCGAGCGUUAUCCGGAUUUAUUGGGUUUAAAGGGUGCGUAGGCGGACGCUUAAGUCAGCGGUAAAAUUGCGGGGCUCAACCUCGUCGAGCCGUUGAAACUGGGUGCCUUGAGUGGGCGAGAAGUACGCGGAAUGCGUGGUGUAGCGGUGAAAUGCAUAGAUAUCACGCAGAACUCCGAUUGCGAAGGCAGCGUACCGGCGCCCAACUGACGCUGAAGCACGAAGGCGUGGGUAUCGAACAGGAUUAGAUACCCUGGUAGUCCACGCAGUAAACGAUGAAUGAUAGUUGUCCGGGGCGAUUGAGUUCUGGGUGACACAGCGAAAGCGUUAAGCAUUCCACCUGGGGAGUACGCCGGCAACGGUGAAACUCAAAGGAAUUGACGGGGGCCCGCACAAGCGGAGGAACAUGUGGUUUAAUUCGAUGAUACGCGAGGAACCUUACCCGGGCUCAAACGCAGGAGGGAUGUUUUUGAAAGGAGGCAGCCAGCAAUGGUCUCCUGCGAGGUGCUGCAUGGUUGUCGUCAGCUCGUGCCGUGAGGUGUCGGCUUAAGUGCCAUAACGAGCGCAACCCCUACCUACAGUUGCCAUCGCGUGAUGGCGGGCACUCUGUGGGGACUGCCUGCGCAAGCAGUGAGGAAGGCGGGGAUGACGUCAAAUCAGCACGGCCCUUACGUCCGGGGCGACACACGUGUUACAAUGGCAGGUACAGCGGGAAGCCACCCAGCGACGGGGCGCGGAACCCGAAAACCUGUCUCAGUUCGGAUUGGAGUCUGCAACCCGACUCCAUGAAGCUGGAUUCGCUAGUAAUCGCGCAUCAGCCACGGCGCGGUGAAUACGUUCCCGGGCCUUGCACACACCGCCCGUCA
This 1406-nucleotide ribosomal RNA is filed under the name uncultured bacterium. RNAcentral describes it as "16S ribosomal RNA". It matches the Rfam family "Bacterial small subunit ribosomal RNA". The record is from RNAcentral.